RNAcentral lists this ribosomal RNA (253 nucleotides) under uncultured bacterium. RNAcentral's name for it is "partial 16S ribosomal RNA". It matches the Rfam family "Bacterial small subunit ribosomal RNA", at positions 524 to 776 of the family's 1533-position model. The record is from RNAcentral.
UACGUAGGAGGCAAGCGUUGUCCGGAAUUACUGGGCGUAAAGCGCGUGUAGGUGGUGGGACAAGUCUGCUGUGAAAGCGCCUGGCUUAACCGGGCGAGGUCGGCGGAAACUGUUCGACUUGAGGACGGUAGAGGGGGGUGGAAUUCCCGGUGUAGUGGUGAAAUGCGUAGAGAUCGGGAGGAACACCUGUGGCGAAGGCGGCCCCCUGGGCCGGCCCUGACACUGAGACGCGAAGGCGUGGGGAGCGAACAGG